Molecule: long non-coding RNA, 335 nt
Organism: Lagopus muta (rock ptarmigan)
Lineage: Eukaryota; Metazoa; Chordata; Aves; Galliformes; Phasianidae
Exons: 3
Source: RefSeq, a predicted model, not a curated record
AGAACUAGAUGCAGGAGGAAACAAACUCAAUGGGACUUGAAAUAUAAAGGAGGCAUUGGAAGGAGUUUACUGAAUUCUGUCCGCGUAUGUCAUAGAACAAAUGUUUCUGCUUAAAGUGCAGAAGGGUCAGCAAUUCUUAUUAUUCAGACUUAAAAGUGAAUUUUAAUGUUUCUGAAAGGAACUAGAUUGACAGCCAGUGGAAGCGAAGUCCUUCUUCCGUCUGCAAAAGAAGAUUUGAAGAGCAUUUGAUCACCUGUGAAUGUGCUUGCAUGCUGGAAUGGAGUUACUGCUCAGUUUUCCUUUGGAGGAGAUUGCUCUAUUUCAGUCUCUCACUG